This 112-nucleotide ribosomal RNA is filed under the name Caerostris darwini. Lineage: Eukaryota; Metazoa; Arthropoda; Arachnida; Araneae; Araneidae. The record is from RNAcentral.
AACGGCCGUACCAUGCUGAAUAUACCGGUUCUCGUUAGAUCACCGAGGUUAAGCAUCAUUGGGCGCGGUCAGUACUUGGGUGGGUGACCACCUGGGAACACUGCGUGCCGUU